Molecule: ribosomal RNA, 484 nt
Filed under: uncultured bacterium
Lineage: Bacteria
Description: partial 16S ribosomal RNA
Rfam family: Bacterial small subunit ribosomal RNA
Source: RNAcentral
AUUGAACGCUGGCGGCAUGCUUUACACAUGCAAGUCGAACGGCAGCGCGGGCUUCGGCCUGGCGGCGAGUGGCGAACGGGUGAGUAAUACAUCGGAACGUGCCCAGUAGUGGGGGAUAGCUCGGCGAAAGCCGGAUUAAUACCGCAUACGACCUGAGGGUGAAAGCGGGGGAUCUUCGGACCUCGCGCUAUUGGAGCGGCCGAUGGCAGCUUAGCUAGUUGGUGGGGUAAAGGCCUACCAAGGCGACGAUCUGUAGCUGGUCUGAGAGGACGACCAGCCACACUGGGACUGAGACACGGCCCAGACUCCUACGGGAGGCAGCAGUGGGGAAUUUUGGACAAUGGGCGAAAGCCUGAUCCAGCAAUGCCGCGUGUGUGAUGAAGGCCUUCUGGUUGUAAAGCACUUUUGGCGGGAACGAAAAGGACUGUGCCAAUACCACGGUUCGAUGACGGUACCCGCAGAAUAAGCACCGGCUAACUACGUG